GGGUGUAUAGCUCAGCUGGUUAGAGCGCAGCACUGAUAAUGCUGAGGUCGGUGGUUCAAGUCCACCUAUACCCACCA
RNAcentral lists this transfer RNA (77 nucleotides) under Candidatus Altimarinota bacterium. RNAcentral's name for it is "Candidatus Gracilibacteria bacterium tRNA-Ile". It matches the Rfam family "tRNA". From Rfam's summary of the family: Transfer RNA (tRNA) molecules are approximately 80 nucleotides in length. Their secondary structure includes four short double-helical elements and three loops (D, anti-codon, and T loops). Lineage: Bacteria; Candidatus Altimarinota. The record is from RNAcentral.